UGGGGAAUAUUGGGCAAUGGGGGAAACCCUGACCCAGCGACGUCGCGUGAGGGAAGAAGGUCUUCGGAUUGUAAACCUUUGUCAACAGGGAAGAAGCAAGUGACGGUACCUGAAGAGGAAGCCACGGCUAACUACGUGCCAGCAGCCGCGGUAAUACGUAGGUGGCGAGCGUUAUCCGGAAUUACUGGGUGUAAAGGGUGUGUAGGCGGGGAUGCAAGUCAGAUGUGAAAACCAUGGGCUCAACCCAUGAUGUGCAUUUGAAACUGCGUUUCUUGAGUGUGGGAGAGGUAAGCGGAAUUCCUAGUGUAGCGGUGAAAUGCGUAGAUAUUAGGAGGAACACCAGUGGCGAAGGCGGCUUACUGGACCACAACUGACGCUGAGACACGAAAGCGUGGGGAGCAAACA
This 405-nucleotide ribosomal RNA is filed under the name uncultured bacterium. RNAcentral's name for it is "bacterial SSU rRNA". It matches the Rfam family "Bacterial small subunit ribosomal RNA", at positions 355 to 774 of the family's 1533-position model. The record is from RNAcentral.